CUGCUAUCGAGGUUCGACUAAGCCAUGCGAGUCGAAUGUAGCAAUACAUGGCGAACUGCUCAGUAACACGUGGACAACCUGCCCUUAGGUUGGGUAUAAACCCGGGAAACUGGGUAUAAUACCCGAUAGGUCUCGAUUGCUGGAAUGCAUCGAGAUUUAAAGCUCCGGCGCCUAAGGAUGGGUCUGCGGCCUAUCAGGUAGUAGUGGGUGUAGCGUACCUACUAGCCUACGACGGGUACGGGUUGUGAGAGCAAGAGCCCGGAGAUGGAUUCUGAGACACGAAUCCAGGCCCUACGGGGUGCAGCAGGCGCGAAAACUUUACAAUGCUGGCAACAGCGAUAAGGGAACCUCGAGUGCCAGGUUACAAAUCUGGCUGUCGAGAUGCCUAAAAAGCAUUUCAUAGCAAGGG
Molecule: ribosomal RNA, 409 nt
Filed under: uncultured archaeon
Lineage: Archaea
Description: bacterial SSU rRNA
Rfam family: Archaeal small subunit ribosomal RNA
Source: RNAcentral